UUCACAUUCACAGUAUACAUGAAUCCACAUCAUAAUUAAUAAAAACAAUGAAAAAUAAUCAACCACACAAAUUUUAUUGGCCACUUCUUCAAAUUCUAUAGACCACUUCUUAAUUCCAUAUAAUUCAAGAAGCAAGACUAGAUUGACCGCUCUCCAUAGGCUUAUACAUGUGAACAACCUUGCUGCUAUACCGUUCGUGAUUUCAUCACAAUAUUUGCUCAACCAACUAUCCCAUCUUAGCUAGUUGGUACCCAUAUUUUCAUUAUUGUGGAUGGUUGGAGGAUGGUAUAUGCAAAAUGUGCACUUGCACCCCUCGGCAACACACUCGCCAGAUUUGUAUUCCCCUGUACGUUUGGAGCAUGCGUCUUCGCAAGUUUUUCUAUCACAUGGUGGAUCUGUGAUUUUUUUUGACACACAUGUGAUGAGUUUAAUGCUAUCUCUCGAUGCCUGUAUUGCCACAUCUGCAAAGUCUCGAGAUGAAGAAAAGGGACGGUCACAACAUGACCAUUCUUUGUUGAGAGAGAUUAUGCACAAAUGUAUUACAUGAACAAGUACCUGAUGCUACCACGAGAAAGACCAAGGCCAAAAGCCACAUAUCGGUGGUCCUCAUUUCAACUGGUCGUUUGUGUUGAAGGAAUGAGUUGUUGAUUUCUGUG
This 656-nucleotide long non-coding RNA is filed under the name Triticum aestivum (bread wheat). RNAcentral's name for it is "long non-coding RNA (TAES_LNC025329)". The record is from RNAcentral. Lineage: Eukaryota; Viridiplantae; Streptophyta; Magnoliopsida; Poales; Poaceae.